This 246-nucleotide small nuclear RNA is filed under the name Octodon degus (degu). RNAcentral describes it as "7SK RNA (ENSODEG00000022507.1)". It matches the Rfam family "7SK RNA". Rfam says of the family: 7SK was discovered as an abundant small nuclear RNA in the mid-70s but a possible function has only recently been suggested. Two independent studies have found that 7SK RNA binds the CDK9/cyclin T complex (known as elongation factor P-TEFb). Lineage: Eukaryota; Metazoa; Chordata; Mammalia; Rodentia; Octodontidae. The record is from Rfam by way of RNAcentral.
GGAUAUGAGGUAAAUCUGGCUGUGACACCUGUCACCCCACUGAUUGCAGGGGUUGAGUCAGAUGAUCUGGCUGCAUAGGUGGAUGUCCCCUUCCCUCCCUUCCUCUCAAGGCUGUGUGAAGUGGAAUGACCACGUCAUCAGAGGAGGCCUGGUUCCUGGGUUCCUUGGUCAGAGGUAUAUGAGUAGCUGUACUCUCAUGCUCUAAGCUCCAGAUAAACCCUCAAGAAGCCUGGUCUGCCCUGAUGA